RNAcentral lists this ribosomal RNA (325 nucleotides) under uncultured Pseudomonadota bacterium. RNAcentral's name for it is "bacterial SSU rRNA". It matches the Rfam family "Bacterial small subunit ribosomal RNA", at positions 116 to 458 of the family's 1533-position model. Lineage: Bacteria; Pseudomonadati; Pseudomonadota. The record is from RNAcentral.
CGUGGGAACCUACCUUUUAGUUCGGGAUAACGUUUGGAAACGAACGCUAAUACCGUAUACGCCCUCCGGGGGAAAGGUCAGCCGCUGAAAGAGGGGCCCGCGUCUGAUUAGCUUGUUGGUAAGGUAAUGGCUUACCAAGGCUACGAUCAGUAGCUGGUCUGAGAGGAUGAUCAGCCACACUGGGACUGAGACACGGCCCAGACUCCUACGGGAGGCAGCAGUGGGGAAUAUUGGACAAUGGAGGCAACUCUGAUCCAGCAAUGCCGCGUGUGUGAUGAAGGCCCUAGGGUUGUAAAGCACUUUCAACGGUGAAGAUGAUGACGGU